GCUCUGUGCAUGGAGGGGCCCGUUCGGAUCGCAGCCGCCGCCGCCGUAGCCGCCGCCAGCGCGCGGGGGAUGACCUGGGGGUGGUUUUCGGAGCCGGCUGCCGCGCAGGAGGUCCGGGGACUGACUCUGCCCCGCUGAGAGUGAGCCAAAGCCUGGAAGUCUGUCCUGCCUGCUUCUGUAAUCUGGCGCUAUGCAUCCAGAUCCUCGGCCCUUACAGACACUGCUGUAUGUUGUUACUCUUGCGAUUCUGUGUCCUUCCGUGAAUUCAGACUUGGCACCGUCUUUUAUUUCUGAGCCACUGUCCGCUGUCCAGAGACUUGGUGGACCCGUAGUACUCCAUUGUUCUGCUAAGCCUGUGACCGCUCAUAUCUCAUGGUUGCAUAAUGGAAAAAGACUGGAUAGAAACAUGGAACAGAUUAAGAUGCAUCAGGGGACUUUGACUAUUCUGUCCCUUAAUCCCUCCCUUUCGGGUUCCUACCAGUGCGUUGCCAACAAUAGCAUCGGGGCAAUUGUGAGCGGCCCUGCAACAGUAUCUACUGCUGUUCUUGGUGAUUUUGGUUCACCAACAAAGCAGGUUAUUACAGCGGAAGAAAAAAGUACCGGUUUCAUUGGCUGCAAAGUACCAGAUAGUAACCCCAAAGCGGAGGUGCGCUAUAAAAUCCGGGGAAAGUGGCUGAAACAUUCCACAGAGAAGUACUUAAUCCUUCCAUCAGGGAAUCUUCAGAUUCUGAAUGUAUCUUCAGAGGACAAGGGAUCAUAUAAGUGUGCAGCUUUUAAUCCUGUCACUCAUGAAUUAAAAGUUGAACCCAUUGGCCGAAAGCUUCUUGUCAGUCGCCCUUCUUCCGACGAUUUUCACAUUCUCCACCCCACCUUUUCACAGGCACUAGCUGUGCUUUCUCAUAGCCCCGUCACCCUGGAGUGUGUGGUGAGUGGGGUCCCAGUUUCUCAAGUGCACUGGCUGAAGGACGGUCAGGACGCUGUGCCGGGAAGCAACUGGCGAAGGUUGCAUUCCCAUCUUGCCACAGACAGCAUUGACCCGGUGGACUCUGGAAACUAUUCUUGUAUAGUGGGAAACAAGUCUGGAGACGUAAAACAUGUGACUUACAUGGUUAAUGUGCUUGAAAAUGCUUCAAUUUCUAAAGGACUACAGGACCAGACAGUCUCUCUGGGUGCCACAGUACAAUUUACUUGUGAGAUUCAUGGGAACCCAACUCCAAACCGUACCUGGUUUCAUAACGCACAACCUGUUCAUCCUUCCCCACGACAUCUAACUGUAGGAAACAGACUGAAAAUCAGUGGUGUUACCAUGGAAGAUUCUGGGCUGUAUCAGUGUGUAGCAGAUAAUGGGAUUGGAUUCAUACAGUCUACUGGGAGACUUGAAAUUGAAAAAGGCAGUGGACUCAAGCCAGUUAUAAUUACAGCACCAGCAAGUACAAAGGUGGUAGAUGGAGACUUUGUUACUCUGUCCUGCAAUGCCACUGGCGUGCCAGUCCCAGUCAUGCGUUGGUAUGACAGGCACGGGUUGAUAACCAGCCAUCCGUCUCAAGUGCUCAGAUCAAAAUCCCGGAAAUCACACUUACGACCUGGGGGCUAUGACCUGGAGCCUGUCUACUUCAUCAUGUCCCGAGCUGGCUCAAGCUCUCUGUACAUUCAGGCCAUCACUCAGGAGCAUGCUGGGAAAUACAUCUGCGAAGCCGCAAAUGAACAUGGUGCCACACAGUCGGAGGCAGUCCUCACAGUUGUUCCUUUUGAACCAAAUACAAAAGCGGAAACAGUUACACCUUCCAAUCCCACUCAGAAUGAUACAAGAGAUGGUUCAGAAGCUGGAUUAUUGAGCUCAUUUCCAGGGAAGAAACACUCCAGCGCAGUGGAAUCAUCGCCAGAGAAAAACACUAGUGGUGCCUCUGUCCCGGAUGCCCCCAUCAUUCUGAGCCCUCCGCAGACCUACACAUCUGAUACGUACAACCUGGUCUGGAGGGCGGGGAAGGAUGGCGGGCUGCCCAUCAAUGCCUAUUUUGUGAAGUAUCGAAAGCUAGAUGACGGCGUUGGCCUGGUGGGAAGCUGGCACACAGUUCGAGUCCCGGGAAGUGAGAAUGAGCUCCAUCUGACAGAACUGGAGCCAUCUAGUCUCUAUGAAGUUUUGAUGGUGGCAAGGAGCGCAGCAGGUGAAGGGCAGCCCGCCAUGCUUACCUUCCGAACCAGCAAAGAGAAAACAACCUCAUCAAAAAACACCCAGGCGUCCUCUCCACCCAUGGGCAUCCCUAGGCGUCCUGUUGUUUCGGAGGCUGCGGACAACUUUGGGGUGGUACUUACAGAUUCCUCUAGGCAUAGUGGAGUUCCAGAAGCACCUGAUCGGCCUACCAUCUCUAUGGCAUCAGAGACGUCCGUCUAUGUCACUUGGAUUCCUCGGGCCAAUGGGGGUUCUCCAAUCACUGCCUUCAAGGUCGAGUACAAACGGAUGAGGACUAGUGAUUGGCUGGUGGCAGCUGAAGAUAUCCCUCCUUCCAAACUUUCUGUGGAAGUUCGUAGCUUAGAGCCAGGUUCAACAUACAAAUUUAGGGUUAUUGCCAUCAACCAUUAUGGUGAGAGUUUUCGGAGUUCGGCAUCUCGUCCUUAUCAGGUGGCUGGGUUCCCCAAUCGUUUCUCUAACCGUCCAAUAACUGGACCCCACAUUGCUUACACUGAAGCUGUCAGUGAUACGCAGAUCAUGCUGAAGUGGACGUACAUUCCAUCAAGUAACAAUAAUACUCCCAUUCAAGGAUUUUAUAUCUACUACCGGCCAACAGAUAGUGACAAUGACAGUGAUUACAAGAGGGAUGUUGUAGAAGGUUCAAAGCAGUGGCACAUGAUUGGCCAUCUGCAGCCAGAAACCUCCUACGAUAUUAAAAUGCAGUGCUUCAACGAAGGGGGAGAGAGCGAGUUUAGUAACGUGAUGAUCUGUGAAACUAAAGUGAAACGUGUUCCUGGAGCUUCUGAGUAUCCUGUCAAAGACUUGAGUACCCCUCCAAAUUCCCCAGGAGGUGGACGAAACGUUGGGCCUGCAACCAGCCCCACCAGAAGCAGCGAUAUGUUGUAUCUGAUAGUUGGCUGCGUGCUGGGUGUCAUGGUCCUCAUUCUCAUGGCUUUCAUCGCAAUGUGCUUGUGGAAGAACCGCCAGCAAAGCACCAUACAGAAAUAUGACCCUCCAGGAUAUCUCUACCAAGGGUCAGAUAUUAAUGGGCAGAUGGUGGAAUACACUACUCUGCCUGGCACAAAUCGGAUAAAUGGGAAUGUUCAUGGAAGCUUCAUAAGUAAUGGAGGUCUCAGCAAUGGCUGCUCCCAUGUUCACCAUAAGAUCUCUAAUGGAGUCAAUGGAGUCAUGAAUGGGAACUUAAAUGGAGGGCUUUACGCGGGACACACAAGCUCACUAACCAGGACGCAUGUGGAUUUUGAACAUCCUCGUCACCUAGUAAAUGGUGGUGGGAGGUACACAGCAGUACCUCAGUCGGACCCGCUGGAGCGCGUUAGCUGUCGAAAUUGUCGGAACAACAAUAGGUAAGUGGCUCUGUAUUUGCACAGGUUGUUGUGACUAUGGUAUAGGAAGGACUCUUCUUUUUCUCCCCUUUGGCAAAGGAAGUUCUUGAAAUUUUAUGUAAGAUAUAAAUCUCAGAAUAUGGAGACUUAAGUUUAAGGCCAUUACUAAUUUUUUGGCCCUGCUUUACAGUUUUUACUUUUCUGGGCUUUGGUUAUUUAGCUAUAUGGACAAUGUUCAAGACGUUAUUUCUCACUGAGAUGUUAUUAAAAGGUUUGGUGUUUUUGAAAUCUUUAAAGUAGAGGCAUUCUCUGCAUAUAGACUUUGUCUUUUCUCAUCUGUUUUUUUCCGUCUGUGUCAUGAAUGAGAGCAUGUUUGAAUGUUAGACGAAAAACCCUGUGUAUAUAGUAAUGUGUUUUCAUAGUAAUUUUACUGAGAUUUUCUUACCAGAUUAUUCAGCGCUUCUUAAAAUUAUUAUUCUUAAAACCUCAAGAUAAUUAAGUAGCAAAAUCUCACUUUCUUUUAAUUUUCUGAGUUUCAGAAACCUCUUAAGAGGUAUAUACACUCACAAUAUUUCAAACAAGAUAGAAAUAUGUAGGGUAACAUGUUCAUUUAAAUUUUGACAAGAUUCAGGAAGCUUUCGGGCUACCUCUGUAUAUAGUAACUCCAAAGGAUUGUCAGACGUUUCGUUGUAUUAAAGUUCUGUCUGUCAAAAAUCUUAGUUCUUUUUUUUUUCUGUAAGGAUGGUGUUGGAUUACGUGGUCUCAGAAGCCCAUCCCAGGUCUAAAAUUCUACAGUGUAAAAGUUGUGUUAUAGUUACUACAUAAGAUAACUGGAGUAUGGACUGGAUUUUGGAUAUUUCAUUGUUGAAAUGGGAUGGGACCUAUAUUUUUCAAAUCAACGACAAGGUUAAUAGUUGUGUCUGGGAGUUACCAAAACCAGAGCUUGGAAGGAAACGGUCAGCUAUAGAACUAACAGUCCAUUUCUCGGCAUGUGUUUUGCGUUGCAGAGCAAAAGCAAUGAAAACUUCCUCGAGACUUUUCUUUAUCGUUUACUUAGCCCAUCUUAGGGUGUGUAUGUGAGCAAGAUUCAGCUGCCUAUUUUGUGUACUAAGAUUUCUUGUUACAUUUUUUUCAUGUUUAUUUUUGAGAGAGAGGGAGAGAGAGUGUAAGCAAGCACAUGUGUGUGCUCACACAGCGCAUGUGCAAGUGGGGGCGGGGCAGAGAGAGAGAGAGAGGGAGAAAGAGAAUCCCUAGACAGUGCAGAGCCCAGCAGAGGGCUCAAACUCACGAACUGUGAGAUCAUGACCUGAGCCGAAAUCCAGAGUCAGACACUUAAUCGACUGAGCCACCCAGGAGCCCCUGCUUGUUACAUUUUUAAAUAAAAUCUAUAUGACCCAGCUAAAUUUUAAGAUGUUUUAUAACACUGAAGCCCUAUUUUUUGUCCUGAACUGGCUGUAGGCUUUAUCUCAAUUUGUUAGGAACAUGCUAAAGAUGCUUCAUACACCUGGUAAGUAAUCUAAUAGAUUUAAUGAAAACGAAUGGUAUUGCCUGAAAAUGUAAUGUAUUGUCCUUUGUGUUUCUCUUCAGCAGGUCUCAGUUCAACUGUAGGCAUCAGAGUAAUGUUGUAAGAGAGCCUCUGGUCUAAGAAUAAGUAGACAGAGGCUUUCCCACUGCCCAAAUCUAUGAUCUUGGGGAAGUUAUAUAAUCUCUCUAUAGCUAUGUCCUUAUCUGAAAAAUGAAAAAUUGUCCUAGGAAAUGUAAAACCAGCCCAACAUACUCUGAUUAUAGAUUUUGGUAAUUUGCUGCUAAUCAUGUCUUUAUGGUGGUGUUAUCAUCCUGGUACCAAAAUGCAUCCCAUUUAUAUGAAUAUGACCAGUAUCUACCGUCACGCACUCACUCAUAGCCAUUUUUAUGUGUGUGUGAGUGAGAGUAUGUGUAUAGUAUUGGGGGUUUUGUUAUACAUGUUUGGUUUUUUUCCCCUUUAAGACAGUGGACAGUUAAUAGUUCUACUAACUUUUCAAGUUGAUAACUUCUUGAAUUUCAUGUUUGGGGGUUUUCCUUUUACCUGGGAAUAUGGGUACAUUCUUUUUAGCCUGAGAAAACCAGCUUCUGUCUCACCCCAGCUUAAAUUUACUUCUUCCUACAUAAGAGUCUGCCUGUUCAGGGCAAAUCUUGGCUUGUCUGCGUUGCCUUCAAGGUUAGCCAAAGAUCUCACCUGGCUCCCAGGAGCCAUUAUGUGAUUUUGAUACUUAAUGAUUGGCCAGAUAAAUAUCAGUAAGUACCUACCUUCAACUCUGGAAAAUUGGAAUCAUUAAAUGUAAAGCUUCUCCUUUCACUUUGAAACUGAAAAGAGACAUCUUUUCUCAAGAUCCCCCAAGAUGGCAAAGUCUGUAAUAAGCUUCUGAUGCUGAGACGUAGAUGAUAUAUGAUUUACUCCCCCAAAUAUGCACAAUUUUAGUUAAUUUACACCUUUAGGAUAUUGACAUUACUAAGAAUACAUUUGCAUUUCCUAACACCAGUUGAACUAGUGUGUAUGCAAAACGAGGCAAAAUUUCAGUUCAGUUAUAUGAACAUUUAUCUGAGGGUGGAUACAGGCAUACCUCAUUUUGUUGUGCUUUAUUUCAUUGCACUCUUCAGAUGCUGUGUUUUGUCCAAGUUAAAGGUUUGUGGUAACCCUACCUCAGGCAUGUCCAUCAGUGCCCAUUUUCCGACGGCAUUUGCUUACUUCGCGACUCUGUCACAUUUUGGUAAUUCUCACAAUAGUUCACGCUUUUUCAUUAUUAUAAGUCUUAUAAUGUCAUAGUUCUCUUUCAUUAUUAUAGUCUCAUUGUUAUAGUGAUCUGAUCAGUGAUUAUGACUCACUGAAAGCUCAGAUGAUGGUUAAAGUUUUUAGCAAUAAAGUAUUUUUUUAAUUAAGCUGUGUAUAUGUUUCUUUAGGCGUAAUGCUAUUGCACUUUAUAGUAUAGUGUUAACAGAACUUUUAUAUGCACUGGGAAACCAACAGAUUCAUUUGACUUGCUCCAUUGUGACAUUUGCUUUAUUGCCGUCGUCUGGAACCAAACCUCAUUAUCUCAAAGGUAUGCCAAUAGUGCAGUUCAGUGAUUAUCACACUUUAGCAUACGUUAGAAUCACUUGGAGCACUGUGAAAACACAAAUGAGGAGGCUCUACCCUUAGAGUUGGUGAUUCAGUAGGUAUAGAGUGGGGCCUGAGAAUUUGCAUUCCUCAUGAAUCCCUACUGGGACAGAUGCUACUGGUCCUGGGACCAUGCUUUAAGAACCACUGGAGAAUCUGGCUGGUGAAGUGCAAGUAGAGGGUAGCAGGAUAUAAAAUGGAAAAGUGGAUUGAGUUUAUAUCUUGAAUGACCCUGAAUGUCACGGUGUAGUAGUUUACUUAAGAAACAUUUAUUGAGUGCCUACCAUGUACUGGGUACUGGCCCACGUCCUACCUCUGGAGAGCCCACGGUCUGAUCAUAGUGAUUUACAACAGAGCUCGAAAUAUAGUGAGCAGAGUUUGAAGAAGCACGUUGAAUCUCGUAGUUCUACAUUUAAGGAAUGGAAAAAGUCCCUGUUGUUUCAGUAAUAACAGUGCAGGAGGGAUAGGAGAUUUUUAUGUUAAUCAGAAGUGGGGGGCAUUGGCCGCCUGGGUGGCUCAGUCAGUUAAGCAUCCGACUUUGGCUGAAGUCAUGAUCUCAUGGUUUGUGAGUUCAAGCCCCACAGCAGGUAAGCUCGGGCCCCACUUCGGGCUCCACACUUUCUCCCUCUCUCUCUCUUUCUCUCUGCCCCUCACUCACUUGAGCGCUAUCUCUCUCUCUCUCAAAAAUAAAUUAAUUAAUUAAUUAAAACACAAAGAAGUGGGGGAUAUUGGUUAAAUGUUGAAAAAUCAAUGGGCCAGUUGCAUCAUAAUUCUCUGGAAGGUUUUUGAGAAGGGGAGCAGUGUAUUCAAGAGAUGCGUUUAGGCUUUGAUUAGUGGUUGCAGUACACAGGUGGGAUUGCAGGGAGGAGACCAGUUUGUUUCCAUAACGAAGACUUGGCUUUCAUGUAAGGAGUGAAGGUAGAAAGGAAGAGAUGAGGAAGGUUCUAGAGUGGGAAUCUUUAGGACUUGGCCACUGACUGAUAUGGAUCUAGAAAAAAAGGAAGAUGCAUAAUGAAGAGAAAGUUCCCAGCAUGGAUGGCAUGGUAAUUGCCACAGUGAUAGUCAUAGAAAUAAGGAACUUAAAUAAAGUGACAUUGAGAAAAGGUGAUGGAUUUGGUUUUGGGCAUUUAGAGUUCCAAGUUCCAGUUGGAUAUCUAAGCCAAGAUGACAAAUGAAAAUGCUGACGUUGGGUUUGGGGGUAGAUCAGGGCUGUGCUACAUAUCUAAGAGUCAUUUGCAUCAAAGUGAUAGAACUUAGGGCGCCUGGAUGGCUCGGUUAAGCUUCCAACUUUGGCUCAGGUCAUGAUCUCAUGGUUCGUGAGUUUGAGCCCUGCAUUGGGUUCUGUGCUGACAGCUCAGAGCCUGGAGCCCGCUUCGGAUUCUGUGUCUCCCUCUCUCUCUCUGCCCACCCCCCUCCCCAUUCAUAUUCUCUCUCCCUCUCUCUCUCUCUCUCUCUCUCUCUCUCUCUCUCAUAAUAAACAUUAAAGAAUUUUUUAAAAAGUGAUAAAACUUAAGUAUGGAUGGGAUCACCAAGGGAGAUGGUAGCUUUGGCUAAUUGAUUAUUUUUAUAUUUUUAAUUAUUUAAAGUACUGUUGUUGCCUUAUUUCCUAGGCAUUUAAAGUGAUUAGACAUCCUUUUUAUAAGACUUUCUUCUCUCUUUCAUUCUUUUUGCUUAUAGCCUUGAAAUGUCUUCAAGGAGCUGAUGAAAGGGAUGUGAUAAAAUAAGGAGAGUGAAAGGAAAAAGCAGUUAUUCAUUCAUUCAGCAAACAUUUGUUGAAGGUCUGUAGUGGGCCAAACACCAAGCUAGGUCCUGGGGGAUAUGUCGUGAGCACACCAGGCAUUGUCCUUGCCUUCACUGAGCUUACAGUUUGAUGGGGAGACAUACCUUUCCCAAAAUGAUAUAAAUGAAACAUAAAAAUGACCAUGCACUCAAAACUGCAUGCUUUAAAGGAAAAGUGAAGAAUGGCUUUGAAAGGACUGAUCUCCCUAAGCAAGUGACAUUUUGCUCUAAAGCUCUGAAGAAUUUGUAAAACUAGGGAAAAGAGAAGGGGAUAGGUUUAAAACUUUCCAGGCAAACAAGAGGUACCAUUUAUGCAGGACCAUAAAGCAGAAUGCUAGGAUCCUUACCAAGCUUCAGGAAGAUUAACGUGGCAGGAACCUGGCAAGCAAAGGGGUUAGAGGUCAAAGGUAAGUGAAAGCAGGUCAUACAGAGCCAUGGCGAGUCAGUGAGAGAUUUUAAGUAGGACAGCCUUAUGCUAGAACAUUCUGGAUGGAGUUUGGAGAAUAAAUUGGAGGGGGCAAAAGAGGAUACAAGGGACCAGUUAGAUGGCUAUUGCAGUAGCCCAGAUGAGAAGCAGUGCCCUUGGAUGGUUGCAGUAGAUAAGGAGAGAAGUAGAUGAGUUUGAGAGAUUUAGGAGGUGCCAAUUAAAAAAAAUAGACACCCUGGGGCCCCUGGGUGGCUCAGUUGGUUAAGCGUCCAACUUUGGCUCAGGUCAUGAUCUCGCAGUUCGUGUGUUGGAGCCCCGCGUCGGCCUUUGUGCUGACAGCUCAGAGCCUGGAGCCUGCUUCGGAUUCUGUGUCUCCCUCUCUCUCUGCCCCUCCCCUGCUUGUGUGCUCUCUCUCUCUCUCUCUCUCUCUCUUUCUCUCUCUCAAAAAUAAACACUAAAAAAAAUUUUUUUAAGACACCUGUGAUCAGUUGAGGGAAGAGGCAGGCAGGGGGGUAUCUAGGUAAGUGAUGCAACCUACUAAGUAGGAAUCACUGCAGGAGAUGAGGAGAAACGGUUUACCCCUUAGCACACCCUUGGGAGUCAUCCUUUUAGACUCCUUUUCAAACUCUCCUUUACCCAGGGUGGCUCUCGUAUUCCACAGAUGCCUAAUGGAUGAAGUCUUGUGUGGGACCUGUCCCUGGUGGAAUCUUACCCGUGCAGUGUCCUGCCGUGCUUUCUUGGGUUUAAACUUAAACAUGUUUUGUAGAGUGGGGACUUAAGAAACAAAUCAGUGCCAGCCUUAGACCCCUUUUACCAUCCGUCUGUUUUGGUCAUAACUAUCUGAAGAGAAAACGUUGCCUUUAUUGUCUAAAUUGGAGUCCUGAUGUGAAAAUUUGAGAACAGGUAAGAGGGGAACGUGCACUCCAGCAGUCUGUCGAGUUUUAUUUGAUGUGCUAGUGCUUUUGUGGCAUGUUGUAAAUGACUGCCUGCUUCAUCAUGUUCAGCUAAUUUGAACCCUUUUCGGGUUUUAAGAGUGAUAUGUAAUAGCUCACGAUGGACAGCUAGAAAGAAGCAUAUUUAAUGCACCUUUGUGGGGAGCCAAUCCCCUGCACUGAAGACUUAAUUGAGAAAUCCUUGUGCAUUUCAAGAAUGUAACAGAUUUUAAUCAAAUAAAUCAAAAGCUUUCUGUCUUUCCCCUUCUCUUCUCAAUUUAAAAGGCAGUGGAGCAGUUCUGGAUAUGUAAUCAAAUGGGGUUUGUCAGUUGCUUGGCUAGUUUAAUGGGAAAGGAUUGAGGUUAAAUCCUGCCUGUUUAUCAUCAGUCUUGAUAAUGUGUAGAAAAAGAGUAGAGAGGACACUGAUGGAAUUCACAGAUGAAUGAAUUGAGAGGUCCCAUCAGGAAAAAACAAGAAAUUAAGGGUCCUAGGGAGAUUAGAAGUGGGCAGGAAGUAGCCAAGUAAAAACCAGCUUGGAGAAAUGUAUAUAAUCCACCUGGGAAGAAAAAGUGCAAGCUAUACAUGGCUGAUGGUCAAAGGAGAAAUCACUUGACUGGGACUGGUGCCUUAGGAAGCACAGAUCGUAUGAAUGAUCCCCAAGCUCUUGCAUGAGGACAUCCUUGAAAGUCUGUGUGUUGCUGAGCUUGGGGACACUUUUUAACCAAUUUGGAACCUUUCACUGAUAAUCAGAUAGACGCAGAUAAAAAUAAUGUGUCAAGAUGAGUAUGCAAACAUUGCAUUAUAGCACUAGCUCUUUCUGGCCUACGAUUAGAGCUACCCAGGUGGUUUGUGAAGUAUGAAAGUGACUGCUUGUUGAGUACAUCUAAAUUCUUUGCUCCAGCAAGUGAAUUUGUUAUGACUUCAUCUAUCUAUUGCUGAUCAUGUAGCUACUUCAGAACUAGCCAUAAAAACCAAAGGCAGCAAACACAUAAAACCUAAGGUUUGGUUUCUCUUCCAUCUGUGGUAAUCUGCCCAAUUCCCUAAGAAAAAAAAAUUCAAAACAUUGUGUCUAGUUUUUUUUUUUUUUGUUACUUAAAAUUUUUUAUUAUUGAAGUAUAGUUGACAUACAAUGUUAUGUUAGUUUUACAUGUACAAGAUAGUGAUUCAAUAAUUAAUACAUUAUGUAAUGCUCACAACAGUAAAUGUCACCAUCUGUCACUGGAUGUUAUUAUAUUAUUAUUAUUAUUAUUAUAUUAUUGACUGUCACUGGCUGUUAUUAUAUAUUAUGUUAAUAUAUUAUUAUUGUAUUAUUAUUGGCUGUACUUUUCAUCCCCUUGACCUAUUUUAUUUAUUUAUUUAUUUACUUAUUUAUUUUAAUUUUAUUUUUAAAAAUUUACAUCCAAAGUAGUUAGCAUGUAGUGCAACAAUGAUUUCAGGAGUGGAUUCCUUAGUGCCCCUUAUCCAUUUAGCCCAUCCCCCCUCCCACAACCCCUCCCAUAAUCCUCAGUUUGUUCUCCAUAUUUAUGAGUCUCAUCUGUUUUGUCCCCCUCCCUGUUUUUUUAUAUUAUUUUUGUUUCCCUUCCCUUAUGAGUCUCAUCUGUUUUGUCUCUUAAAGUCCUCAUAUGAGAGAAGUCAUAUGAUUUUUGUCUUUCUCUGACUGACUCAUUUCACUUAGCACCAUACCCUCCAGUUCCAUCCACAUAGUUGCAAAUGGCAAGAUUUCAUUCUUUCUGAUUCCCGAGUAAUACUCCAUUGUAUGUAUAUUCCACAUCUUCUUUAUCCAUCCGUCCAUUGAUGGACAUUUGGGCUCUUUCCAUACCUUGGCUAUUGUUGAUAGUGCUGCUAUAAACAUGGGGGUGCAUAUGUCCCUUCAAAGCAGCACACCCGUAUCCCGUGGAUAAAUGCCUAGUAGUGCAAUUGCUGGGUCGUAGGGUAGUUCUAUGUUUAGUUUUUCGAGGAACGUCUAUACUGUUUUCCAGAGUGGCUGCACCAGCUUGCAUUCCCACAUUGUGUCCAAUUUUUAAAAUUGAUCAGUACCAUCCUUCUGAGGAAGUUCCAUAUUUCCUACUUAUAAUAUGGAGAACAGUGGCCUGUCAUCAGGGAGUCAGGUGGUUAGGAUAGUGUUUUUGGUCUUUUAUUUGUAAGACAAUGUGUGUGAGCUUGCCAUGUUCAGUAAUUUACUCAGUCGUUUAUUGUCAUCUAUUUUGUGACGGUCACAGUAAAGUAAUUCCCAAAGGGCAACUCCCACUCUGAGACUGGGGUCGUUGCAUCCAACAAAGAAUGUACAAUGAGAGUGGAGGACAGCCGUGGCCCUGGAGGAAUGUCAUCAGGCUUCUGUUGCAUAGUAACUGAUGAGCCUCCAAAAAUAAGGGCUGGAUCAGCAAUGUGACAGAGACACUGAAGCAAGAGGAAACAGAAAUAAGCUGAGUAUUUACUUUAAGUUUAUUUAUUUAUUUUGAGAGGGAGAGAGCCUGUGUGCAGGGGAGGGGCAGACGGAGGGGGAAAGCGAGAAUCCCAAGCGGCCUCUGUGCCUCUACCAUGGAGUCUGACUCAAGGUGCAGACUCAUGAACUGGAGAUCAUGACCUAAAGCCGGAGUCAAGAGUCAGAUGCUUAACUGACGGAGCCACCCAGGCACCCAGUAAGCUGAGUAUUAAAACAAACCACCACCAAGAUGUGAGUAUUUCGGAAGUUUCAAGAACAUACUCAUGAAAAUGAGUAUCGCACAUCCAAGAGAUCCAUGGAUAGUCAGUCUUUGCCCUUCAGGGAUCAUCAAAAGAGGAAACUUAAGGGGCGCCUGGGUGGCUCAGUCGGUUGGGCGGCCGACUGCGGCUCAGGUCAUGAUCUCGCAGUCUGUGGGUUCGAGCCCCACGUCGGGCUCUGUGCUAACAGCUCGGAGCCUGGAGCCUGCUUCCAAUUCUGUGUCUGCCUCUCUCUCUGCCCCUUCCCUGCUUGGUCUCUGUCUCUGUCUCUCUCUCUCUCAAAAAAAAAAUAAAUAAAUAAACAUUAAAAAAAAAUUUAGAAAAAAAAAGAGGAAACUUAAUGCAAAAUUUAUACAAUUACCUGAUCAGAGCCAUUCUGUACAUAAUCAGUCACACUUAACAAAUAUUUAACUGUGUAAACAGAAAUGGGCCACUUCUCUAGAAAAUAUUUCAGAGGUCCUAUAUAGUUUUUCUGGAAUGUCCAAAAUAUCUUUAGUCAAAUACUAAACAACAUACUCGUCGAAACACAGUCCUGUGCCACUGUUCCAAUCUUCUGUUUCCUAGUGUGUGCUAUCCAGAUUGUUGGUUAAAGACUAUUUCAUUACUUUUAUGACACCGUAACGAUCCUUUUUCUAUCUUACCAAUUUGUCAGGUCUUUCCUGUUAACCGAAAGAGAUCUUAGUAAACUAACAGGCCCCAGACCACCUGAAUUAAUUUUAGCACACAUUUUUGUACGUGGCAAGAUGCCCAGGGCUCUAUUUACCCAGUGUUUUUACAUUUAAAAUUAAGCAAAGUAGUUUCAUUGAGUCAGAGACAGCUCAGUGAAAACUUUCACUCUACCUUAAGCCAAUAAUAACUGAAAUUGAAGGAUUAUUUGAGAAGCCUAAGGUAGUGAAACUACAAACUCUUUGUGCCUGUAUAAACUGUAAAGUGUGCAUUGUAAGAGCAGCUUGAUAAAUGUCCUAUAUUUGUAGACCUACUCAUUUGACAUGUUCUCUCAUUCACUGCCUAUAGAUUUGGGUCUUUGAAGUUUACAUGUAUACACAUCACUAUUUUUUGUGAUUACCCGCUUGCUUUAGCGAUUUUAAUUCAAGUGUUAAUCAGCAAAAGUGUUUCCACAUGCUAUCUUCUUAAUUCUAUUCAGAACAGGUAUUAUAGUCCUUUUUCGUUUAUUCAUUUAUUUUUUAUUUAUUUAAUUUAUUUUUAUUUUCUGAGAGAGAGAGAGGGUGCAAGUAAGCGAGGAGCAGAGAGGGAAUCCCAGGAGGGACAGAGGGAAAAAGGGAGAGAGGGAGGAAGACAUAGAAUGAGAGAAGCGGGAUUCACCUGAAGUGGGGCUGGUGCUCACCUGACGUGGGACUUGAACUCACAAACCGUGAGAUGAUGACCUGAGCCAAAGUUAGAUGGAUUAAUGACUGAGCCACCCAUUUGCCCCUAUGAUAUUCUUUUUUCAUAUACUUUGUCAUCUAUGCUUGUGUCUUAGCACAUAACCCCCAAGUUAAAGCCAUUUUUAUGUUGAUACAUGUAGAUACCUGGAACAGAAAAAUGAUUUCCAUGUAGUUAUCCAAAUGGUAAAUUCCUGGGGCACUUGGGUGGCUCAGUCGGUUAAGCGUCCGACUUAGGCUCGGGUCAUGAUCUCACGGUUUGUGAGUUCGAGGCCCGCAUCAGGCUCUCCUCUGUCAGCACGGAGCCUGGAGCCUGCUUUAGAUCUUCUGUCCCCUUCUCUCUCUGCCCCUCCCACACUCACGCUCCGUCAAAAAUAAACAUUAAAAAAAAGGUUAAUUCCUGAUGAUUAGGGGUUAGGAUUUGGUGUACUAGAAAAUUUUAUCAGUGUGGUUCAGCAUGUUGAAAAGUGGGUAAUCUAACCAAAGUAUGAUCAAUGUCAACACUGUUCUGUUGAGAGUCACAAUUCAGAACAAAGUAAACUGCUGUCCUCUUCUGUUUCACUUAUCUGAAAAAUAGAUACCAAAGAAUAGGGAACAGUUAAAUUGUACUUCUUUUUUUUCUUGCUAAAUAUGCGUCACUUCUUGUAAAACAGCUGAAUAUUUCAUCUAUGUGUUUUCUCCGGCACAGAAAAGCAGGUUAUCAUCCGUCACAGUUGGCCAUGGCCCCUCUGUCUUGGCCAUCCCCUUAGUCCUGCCCCACCCAUGUAGUUCACCUCCACUGCCUCCCAGCAAAUCGCCCUUGCACUUCAUCGAAAAAGCUCAUCCUUUGGGGCACCUGGAUCACUCAGUCGGUUGAGCAGCUGACUCUUGAUCUCAGCUCAGGUCUUGAUCUCAGGGUCAUGAGAUCAAGCCUUGUGUGGGGGUCCUCGCUAGGCAUGGAGCCAAACAAACAAACAAACAAAUAUGUCAUCCUUUGCUUUAAAUUGAAGAAGUGAGCAGAAAAAAAGAAACUAAAAGGAAAGCAACAGAAGAAUUUAAGGCCUCUGACUAUCUGGUGAGUCUUCAUUAUUUUGUGUUAACAUUAUUUUACGUUAACAUUAAUUCCUCUUAGAGCUACCUCAACAAAUUAUUAAUUUAUACUAUUUUGUUUUUAGGGAGGUGCCCUGGUUUUUCUAAUUCUGGCAAGUAUUUUUUUUUUUUUUUUUACUACAGUUUAACUUUGCUUUUUUUAAGUGAAAACUUUUCUUUCUGCCCUGAUGAUACUUUGUGGUCUUUUAGGUUUCUAGGACCUCCGUGUUGCUUCCAGAUUCUUGCAGACACAUGGGGCCUCAAGCCAGAAGCUUAUUAGUUAGUUUGUUUUACAACAUCACCAUCGGGGGUUGUUUUUAAGGGUCUGCCUAUGCUGUGCGUCUCACUGUUUUAAGAGGUUACUCUAACACUGGGACAGUUAUCUCCUGUCCUCAAGGAGAUUGAAGUUUAAGUCAGAUAUCUUUGGAACCAGCAGAUGAGAGAAAACCCAGACAACAGAGCCAGUAUGGAACAAGGACAGACAUAACUACUAUUGUCCUACAAAAAUCCUAAGGCGUAAGUAUAUCCAUUCAUUCUCGCUAAAGUGGACAUGUCUUAUCUUAGUGCUGAGCAUGGUCUGUUAUAAGAUGUUUUCCAGUUAGUUUAAUCAUUGCCCGCCCCCUCUGAUGAUGAAUUUACUUACUUAAGAAAAAGGAUAUAAAAAAUGGCUGAUGUUUUAAUGUUUAUUAUUUAUUAGUUCAACAUUUUUGAGGUCCUACUAAUGUGCCACAAACUAUGUGCUUGGUGCUAGACAUUAUGACUUUAAUCGGAGUCCCGUAUACAUCAGUACUUUGACCACUUCUUAGGCAAUAAAACACUUUAGACCAUUUUCACUCAUUUCCUUCUUCAGGGUUUUGUGUUAUUUUUGUCACGUUUUCAUUCUACAGAUACGUAAAAUUCUCUAAGACAUUACAGCUACUGUUUUUUGAAGUCAGUAUUUAUUCAGAAUUCCUGACACUACAUUUUUUUGUUACUGUUCGUUCUUUUCAGGAUUUCCUUUCUUCUCUGUGCUGGUAGUCAUUUCCUUCAACUUGGAAAAACUCCCUUUGGGAUUUCUUAAAAUACAGGUCUGAGGGUGACAAAUUGUCCCAGCGUUUUGGUCUGAAAAUGUCUUCAGUUCAUCUUCCUUUCUGACGGAUCCUUUCUACUGUUUAUUGAACUCUAGGCUGGCAGUUACUUUCUUUUUGUACUUGCACGAUGUUGCAUUACGGCUUCUAUCGCUUCCGGUGAAGAAUCGUCUGUGCAACUGUCAUUGUUCCCUUCCAAAGUAAUAAUGUCUGUUUCUUUUGACUGCUUUUAUGAUGUUCACAUUGUAUUUUGCCUUCGGCAGUUUAAUUGUUCACAUUAAACUCUGUGGUUAAUUAUUCACAUUCGAAAGUGUGAAUCUGUAUUCUGCUUGGGGUUCAUAGGACUUCUUGAAUCUGCGGCCUGGGCUUUCGUCAGUUUUAGCAAAUUCUUAGCCCUCUGUCUCCAGAUAUGGCUCUGUCUUGUUCUCUUUUCACGAUGCUUCAUAUGUCUUUAAAACUUCUCUCUAUAUUUCCCAUCCUUUUGUCUCUGCCCUUCAGUCUGAAUAGUAUGCAGUGCCUGCUUCUAAUUAUUACUAGACUCUACGUGUCUAUUAAAACUCUUCAUCUUGUCAUCUUUUUUCUUAAAUACAUGCAUCCAAGUCUUUUAAAGUCUUUGUCUCCUAAUUCAGUAUCUGCAUCACUUAUUUUUCUCUUGAUAUGCCUGAUAAUUUUUAAUUGAAUUCUGGGCACUGCGUAUGAAAACUCACAGAGGCUCUGGAAGAAGUUUUCUUCUUCCAGAAGGGACUGCUUUUGGCAGGCAGUUUGGCAAGGGGCAGAUCGCUUUAACCCGAUCAGGGACUGAGCUGAUUAUUUACUGCUGAGUUUCAACGUCUGUAAAAGUGUUGUCUGUUUCUGCUUCACCAUUAUUUUUACAGCAUAAGCCUUCAAGGGUCCUAAUUAAAAAGUCUUUUCUCUUUGGGAGGCUCUGAACUCCAAUUUCUGUUUUCUCAGCCCCAUGAAAGUGCCAGGAGUCCUGCUUAGCUUCUUAGCUUUGUAGCCAGGACUUUCUGCUUCACGCCUCAGCCUUUUCUUUUUGCACUGAAUUGGGGAAAUGCCUCAAGGGGAAAAGGGGAUGCUGAAACUCGGGUUCACAUUUACCUUCUCUCUGAAAUCUCAGCCACUCAGGUGCUUGCUUGGGUAGUAGCCCUCUGCUGACUUCAACAGAUUUAAAAUAAAAAUUUCUUGGGGCGCCUGGGUGGCUCAGUCAGUUAAGUAUCCGACUUCCACUCAGGUCAUGAUCUCGCCGUCCAUGAGUUUGAGCCCCACAUUGGGCUCUGUGCUGACAGCUCAGAGCCUGGAGCCUGCUUCAGAUUCAGAUCUACCUUAUUUAUUUCUCCCUCUCUCUCUGCCCCUUUCGCAUGUGCAUGCGCGCGCGCUCUCUCUCUCUCUUUCUCUCAAAAAUAAAUAAACAUUAAAAAAGUUUUAAAAUAAAACUUUCUCCAUCCUUUGUAGUUGUCCUUGGCAGGAGAAUUGUUCUGAUACAAACUAAUCAGUCAUAGCCAGAAACCAGCAGUUUAAUUUUUUAAAAGUUAUUUCGAACAAAUCAUGGAAACCAUGUAGAUUCCCCCAACUAGAGUUAUUUCCAAUUUGGAGAAACCAGAAUCCUUCUUACUCUCUAAUUCUGUAAUUGUGACCUAAUGUAAUUUCUUCGGUUAUAAAACAAUUGGGUCUGAACCAGUAGGAAAGAAUAGACACUGGUCUCUGGCUGGUCACAUGGGAAGUGCCCUGUUCUCAUCAAGCACACAUCUAUUACCGUCUCACAGACAGUGUCUUUUAUACCUUCUUGUGUAACUUACUGCAUCACGCUGGAACCAUUUGUUUACUUGUCCAUCUCUGCUUGACUGGAAGCUGGAAAUCUGCCUUAUUUACCUUUAUAUUUUCAGUCUCUUACCACAGUGUCUGACAUUUAGAAGGUAUUCAGCAAAUGCUUUUAGAAUAAAGGGUUCUUCUAGGUAAGGUUAUUUAUAUAAAUGGAGAAUACCCGUUAAAUUUUCAUUAGUAGUAUUUGAAUUCAGAAAGGCUAUUUUUGUCUGUGUUUUGGUUUUGCCUCUGACCAUGCCCCACAUUUUGGGUGAAUACCCUACUUAACAGUCUGUAUUCGAUUCGACGAAUUGAAUAUGUUCAGAGGGAUUCUCAGGCUCCCUGGGUAUUGGGACAGAGGAAGAGACCUGACAAAAUCCAAGAAGGAAAGAGGGCGAUGACAUGGACAUUAUUAAAUGGCUGUCAGGAGAUUAGUGCUCACUUUUGCCAGCAUCCCAGAAAAGUUUUUAAAAUUCAGAGUUGAAUAAAAUGUAGAACGGGAUAAAUAAGGAAUGCCAUACUCUCCUGGAGUCAUGAUCUGUCUAGUCCAGUGGUCUGAUUCUACCUCCAGCACACUUUCUUCUUACUAGUGCUUCCUUCAUUUUUUAUUGGCUUAAGACAUGCAUGGGAACACUUAGGUUUUAUUUGAAUCAGGUAUGUAUUUCUUGCUAUAUAUUAUUAAAACUUAAAAUAGAGUCCUAUUAGAUAAUCCUGUACUCAAACUGUUCUGUACAAAUGAAUACCUCACAUACUUGGCUUUCCAUUCCAGGUGACUAGUAUCCAGAUUCCACUAAAUUUAUAGUUCAGAUCUUUCUUCCUGCUUAGCAUUUAGUAUUUCCAAUAACCUGAACCAACAGGGAUGCUCGUAACAGUUGCAUGGACUUCUUUUACUCAUUUGCAUAUGCCCCAGAAAUGUACCAUCCCAUGGUAAAAAAGUGGAAAUCCAAAAGAUUCUUAUUUUUAUUCCCCAACAUCGCCUAGCUCCAUCACACUGCCGGUCAGUUCUGUGUGUUUCCUACCUAACAUGCCCAAAUCAAAGCCAAAUGAAAUGUCUUCCUAAGACUUUUCUUACGAUUAUUGAAAUAAAAAAUAUAUUUCUGUUAUUCCAGUUUCUGUUUAUGAUGGAAUAGCUUGAUCAUCUAUAGGUAAGAAUAGUGAUGAAAUCUGGACAGUUUGAAAUUACUGGAGAAUAGCCUGAAGCAGGCAGGAACUGAAUAAAUCUAAACUUGAGAGACAAUGGCUGACACUUAUUUGUGAAUUUUUGCCGGAGGGCAUUCUCCAGUCUUGGGUCAGGGACCCAAACAGAGGUGUCAGAGGAUAGAGUUCAAGACCAAUAGAAAACCAGCAAAAAAAAAAAAAAAAAAGGAAAA
Molecule: RNA transcript, 19171 nt
Organism: Acinonyx jubatus (cheetah)
Lineage: Eukaryota; Metazoa; Chordata; Mammalia; Carnivora; Felidae
Gene: CDON
Gene name: cell adhesion associated, oncogene regulated
Exons: 19
Source: RefSeq, a predicted model, not a curated record